Non-coding RNA from Pelobates cultripes (western spadefoot toad), 283 nucleotides. NCBI's taxonomy places the organism in Eukaryota, Metazoa, Chordata, Amphibia, Anura, Pelobatidae. The record is from the annotation of a GenBank genome assembly.
AGCAAAAUGGCUGCUCAGAUGCAAGCUCUUAGUUCUUGGGCUAAUAACAUUAUGGAAUAAUACCCACCUUGAACUCUUACUGGUUUUAGACUGCUAGGCUGACACAGCAAGAGAGUUAGAAAAUCAGUGCUACAUCCAGUUUUAAAAGGCCAGCAGUCCCCUUGUGAUGAUUCCAAAGUAGACUUGAGAACCGGUGUAGGCUGCAGCUGAAUGAUAAGAUGCAAGGGGCAUGCACAAUAUCAUCAUAAAGAAGAGUCUUUGAUUAUGUCUUCCCAAAAUGGAG